GAUGAACGCUGGCGGCGUGCCUAAUACAUGCAAGUCGAGCGAACGGACGAGAAGCUUGCUUCUCUGAUGUUAGCGGCGGACGGGUGAGUAACACGUGGAUAACCUACCUAUAAGACUGGGAUAACUUCGGGAAACCGGAGCUAAUACCGGAUAAUAUUUUGAACCGCAUGGUUCAAAAGUGAAAGACGGUCUUGCUGUCACUUAUAGAUGGAUCCGCGCUGCAUUAGCUAGUUGGUAAGGUAACGGCUUACCAAGGCAACGAUGCAUAGCCGACCUGAGAGGGUGAUAGGCCACACUGGAACUGAGACACGGUCCAGACUCCUACGGGAGGCAGCAGUAGGGAAUCUUCCGCAAUGGGCGAAAGCCUGACGGAGCAACGCCGCGUGAGUGAUGAAGGUCUUCGGACCGUAAAACUCUGUUAUUAGGGAAGAACAUAUGUGUAAGUAACUGUGCACAUCUUGACGGUACCUAAUCAGAAAGCCACGGCUAACUACGUG
Molecule: ribosomal RNA, 497 nt
Filed under: uncultured bacterium
Lineage: Bacteria
Description: partial 16S ribosomal RNA
Rfam family: Bacterial small subunit ribosomal RNA
Source: RNAcentral